Molecule: ribosomal RNA, 497 nt
Filed under: uncultured bacterium
Lineage: Bacteria
Description: partial 16S ribosomal RNA
Rfam family: Bacterial small subunit ribosomal RNA
Source: RNAcentral
GAUGAACGCUGGCGGCGUGCCUAAUACAUGCAAGUCGAGCGAACAGACGAGGAGCUUGUUCUUCUGACGUUAGCGGCGGACGGGUGAGUAACACGUGGAUAACCUACCUAUAAGACUGGGAUAACUUCGGGAAACCGGAGCUAAUACCGGAUAAUAUCUUUAACCGCAUGGUUCAAUAGUGAAAGACGGUUUUGCUGUCACUUAUAGAUGGAUCCGCGCCGCAUUAGUUAGUUGGUAAGUUAACGGCUUACCAAGGCAACGAUGCGAAGCCGGACUGAGAGGCUAAUAGGCUACACUUGAACUGAGGCACGCUCCAGACUCCUAAGAGAAGAGCCAGUAGGGAAUCUUACAGUGUAGGCCGAAAGCAAACGUGAACACGCCGCGUGAAUGACGAAGUUUUUCGGAUAAUUAUACUCUGCUAUUAGAGAAGAAAGAGUGUGUAAAGAACUAAGCAUGUCUUAACGGUACCUAAUCAGAAAGCCACGGCUAACUACGUG